This 429-nucleotide ribosomal RNA is filed under the name Chloroflexota bacterium. Its description in RNAcentral is "Chloroflexi bacterium partial 16S ribosomal RNA". It matches the Rfam family "Bacterial small subunit ribosomal RNA", at positions 355 to 776 of the family's 1533-position model. The record is from RNAcentral. Lineage: Bacteria; Bacillati; Chloroflexota.
UGGGGAAUAUUGCACAAUGGGCGCAAGCCCGAUGCAGCCAUGCCGCGUGUGUGAAGAAGGCCUUCGGGUUGUAAAGCACUUUUAGCGGGGAGGAAGGCGUUAAGGUUAAUAACCUUGGUGAUUGACGUUACCCGCAGAAGAAGCACCGGCUAACUCCGUGCCAGCAGCCGCGGUAAUACGGAGGGUGCAAGCGUUAAUCGGAAUUACUGGGCGUAAAGCGCACGCAGGCGGUAUGUAAAGUCGGAUGUGAAAUCCCCGGGCUCAACCUGGGGACUGCAUUCGGAACUGGCAGGCUAGAGUCUUGUAGAGGGAGGUAGAAUUCCAGGUGAAGCGGUGAAAUGCGUAGAGAUCUGGAGGAAUACCGGUGGCGAAGGCGGCCCCCUGGACAAAGACUGACGCUCAGAUGCGAAAACGUGGGGAGCACACGGG